This 1374-nucleotide long non-coding RNA is filed under the name Equus caballus (horse). RNAcentral describes it as "lncRNA (ENSECAG00000053074.1)". Lineage: Eukaryota; Metazoa; Chordata; Mammalia; Perissodactyla; Equidae. The record is from RNAcentral.
UGAGAAUUCAGUUGGGUAAUCAUGACACAUGCUUUGUAAACUGUAAGAUCGCUGUGGCAGGCAUUGAUGUGAUUCUCUAAAUAUUUCUGGUUCCAGGCAUGUGGUAGGUUUUCACAUCCCUCUUGAAGUUAAGUAUGGCCAUGUGACUUGCGUAGGCCAGUGGGAUGGAGCAAAAGAUGGACAUCAUCACAUCUGAGUGAAGCUGUAAGAGCACAGUCAGUGUGCAAUUCCUGUGCUCCCUCUCCCUCUGCCACAGCAAUGUUCCAGCUGUGUUAAUUCACCUUCGUGCAUUUCUACGCUUGGACAUGGAAUAGGUGAACAGUUUGCCAGUCUUUGAUGGGUGCUGCUUUAUAAUACAAUUGAACAGAGGUUCUCAACCUGGCCCCCACCUCAACCCAAUGAAGUCAAAAUUUCUACAUUUAAGGGCCCAAACAUCAGUAAUUUUUUUUUUCAAAACUUCCUAUUUGGUUCUAUUGUGAAUCUAGGGUUUAGAACCAUUGGGUUAGAGUCGUGGGCUCUUGUUGGUCAGACAGAUUUGGAUUCAAAAUCUGGGUUCACUGAGGAAGUUAUCUACCCUUUUAGUUUUGCCACCUGUAAAAAGGAUAGUAUUAAGUAUAAAAGGAUGUGUAGUAGGUAAAGGAGCAUCAUCCCUAUCUAAGAUCAAGUACCCAGGAGAUUAUGAUUACUGUGGUUUCUUUUUAAAUGAAUGGGGACUACGUGUCAGGGAGAGCAGGAAGGAAUGUCUCCAUUUGCAAUGAAGCAAACCCACCUGGACAGCGUUUGAGAAGCGACUUGCCCAAGUUCUCAUGAUAGGAUCCUGUUUCCUCCAAAUCUGAUUUCAUUGUCGUCAUUCUGUGCUGCGUCUCCUUUAAAUUUCAGCUCCUUAGUUACAUCAGAUAGCAUUCCCUUAAACCAGCCAACAGAAAGGAGUUGGGCGCCUUUAGGAAGGGAAUGUGGGCUGCCAAGAACCUUGCACAGUUCUGCCUCCAGCUGCACCCAGUCUGCUUUGUUCCUUCUUAGAAUAUUCUGCUGGACAUAGCUCAGGGCUUGGGGAAGUGCAGGCACUUUUCUAGUAAGUGGGUAUGUGGGCCCUGGGGUCUCAGGGAGGCAUAAUGGUUGGUGCAGUGGUGAAAGGGUGGGACAUUGGAGUCGUUAUGCUUGAGGCUCUGGCUCCAAGACUUGGAGCUGUGUGACUUCACACCUCUUCAGUGGUGAUGAUAAUAGCUUUUAGAGUUGUAAGAAGGGCUGAAUAAACAGAUUUUGCCACUUGCGGAUGUGUGACCCUGGAUUAAUUACUUAACCUUUGAUAUCCUCAAUAUUUUCGUCUGUCAAAUGGGGUGAUAAUAAUAGUGCUUACCUUGUAGGGUACUUGCG